AGAGUUUGAUCCUGGCUCAGAUUGAACGCUGGCGGCAUGCCUUACACAUGCAAGUCGAACGGCAGCGCGGGGCAACCUGGCGGCGAGUGGCGAACGGGUGAGUAAUAUAUCGGAACAUACCCUAGAGUGGGGGAUAACGUAGCGAAAGUUACGCUAAUACCGCAUACGCACUAAGGUGGAAAGUGGGGGGAUCUUCGGACCUCAUGCUCAUGGAGUGGCCGAUAUCUGAUUAGCUAGUUGGUGAGGUAAAGGCUCACCAAGGCGACGAUCAGUAGCUGGUUUGAGAGAACGACCAGCCACACUGGAACUGAGACACGGUCCAGACUCCUACGGGAGGCAGCAGUGGGGAAUUUUGGACAAUGGGGGCAACCCUGAUCCAGCAAUGCCGCGUGAGUGAAGAAGGCCUUCGGGUUGUAAAGCUCUUUUGUCAGGGAAGAAACGGUGAGUUCUAAUAAAGCUUGCUAAUGACGGUACCUGAAGAAUAAGCACCGGCUAACUACGUG
RNAcentral lists this ribosomal RNA (503 nucleotides) under uncultured bacterium. RNAcentral describes it as "bacterial SSU rRNA". It matches the Rfam family "Bacterial small subunit ribosomal RNA", at positions 8 to 507 of the family's 1533-position model. The record is from RNAcentral.